CUAGAGAUAGAAAGUUACUUCGGUACAUCGGUGACAGGUGGUGCAUGGUUGUCGUCAGCUCGUGUCGUGAGAUGUUGGUUAAGUCCCGCAACGAGCGCAACCCCUAUUGUUAGUUGCCAUCAUUCAGCUGGGCACUCUAGCGAGACUGCCGGUAAUAAACCGGAGGAAGGUGGGGAUGACGUCAAAUCAUCAUGCCCCUUAUGACCUGGGCUACACACGUGCUACAAUGGUUGGUACAACGAGUUGCGAGUCGGUGACGGCGAGCUAAUCUCUUAAAGCCAAUCUCAGUUCGGAUUGUAGGCUGCAACUCGCCUACAUGAAGUCGGAAUCGCUAGUAAUCGCGGAUCAGCACGCCGCGGUGAAUACGUUCCCGGGCCUU
Molecule: ribosomal RNA, 379 nt
Filed under: uncultured Streptococcus sp.
Lineage: Bacteria; Bacillati; Bacillota; Bacilli; Lactobacillales; Streptococcaceae
Description: bacterial SSU rRNA
Rfam family: Bacterial small subunit ribosomal RNA
Source: RNAcentral